CAGGCUUAACACAUGCAAGUCGAGCGGGGAAGGGUAGCUUGCUACCUGACCUAGCGGCGGACGGGUGAGUAAUGCUUAGGAAUCUGCCUAUUAGUGGGGGACAACAUUCCGAAAGGAAUGCUAAUACCGCAUACGCCCUACGGGGGAAAGCAGGGGAUCUUCGGACCUUGCGCUAAUAGAUGAGCCUAAGUCGGAUUAGCUAGUUGGUGGGGUAAA
RNAcentral lists this ribosomal RNA (216 nucleotides) under Cyclophora tenuis. RNAcentral describes it as "partial Bacterial small subunit ribosomal RNA". It matches the Rfam family "Bacterial small subunit ribosomal RNA", at positions 43 to 261 of the family's 1533-position model. Lineage: Eukaryota; Bacillariophyta; Fragilariophyceae; Cyclophorales; Cyclophoraceae. The record is from RNAcentral.